This 425-nucleotide ribosomal RNA is filed under the name uncultured bacterium. RNAcentral's name for it is "partial 16S ribosomal RNA". It matches the Rfam family "Bacterial small subunit ribosomal RNA", at positions 354 to 796 of the family's 1533-position model. The record is from RNAcentral.
GUGGGGAAUAUUGCACAAUGGGGGAAACCCUGAUGCAGCGACGCCGCGUGAGUGAAGAAGUAUUUCGGUACGUAAAGCUCUAUCAGCAAGGAAGAAAAUGACGGUACUUGACUAAGAAGCCCCGGCUAACUACGUGCCAGCAGCCGCGGUAAUACGUAGGGGGCAAGCGUUAUCCGGAUUUACUGGGUGUAAAGGGAGCGUAGACGGUAUGGUAAGUCAGAUGUGAAAGCCCGGGGCUCAACCCCGGGACUGCAUUUGAAACUAUCAGACUGGAGUGCAGGAGAGGUAAGUGGAAUUCCUAGUGUAGCGGUGAAAUGCGUAGAUAUUAGGAGGAACACCAGUGGCGAAGGCGGCUUACUGGACUGUAACUGACGUUGAGGCUCGAAAGCGUGGGGAGCAAACAGGAUUAGAAACCCUGGUAGUCC